GGUGGUAGGCCGCGGCGUGGCGGGGGGUGGAUGGCCGGUGCGUGGCGGGGUGUGGAGGAUUCGCUGCGGGCGGGGUAUGAGGCUGAUAGGUUCGCGGUGGCGCGAUGGCCGGACGAGUGGCCGUUCCGGGAGGAGGGGGUGACGGCGGUACCGGCAAGCUGCGGUAGUGACGUCCGGCAAGCUGCGGUGGUGGCGUACAGUAAGUAACGUCGUCGUGGGACCUAGGCGGGCCGAGGGAAAGGGUCGCGCGGCGGCGGCUGGCCGAGGGAGGGGAUCUCGCAGCAACGCCGGGGUCGGGGUGAAGGAACGGCACCGUGUCGUGGCAGCUGACGCGGGAAGGGGUAGAAGGGGGAUCACGGAGCACCACCUUAGUGUUUCUGUCGACUACAACGAUAAAGAAAAACGACUACGAGUAAGUUUAGAGUACGAUGAAUACACGAUUUAAAGAUAUCAAAGAACAGCUUUACGGAUACUCUUCGUUUUUAUAAAACUACUUUAAACUACAACAAUAAGGAUACAAGGUCGUCAAAAAGACACACGACAUUAAAAGGAGACAGUUAGGUUUUUUCGUCGUCAAAUCGUGCUUUUUAUCAAAAAAGAGAAGAGUAAUGUGUUGUCUUUUCCAUAAACAGAGGUUGAUCGUAAUUCUCAAGUUUCAUGUGUUUCCUUUUUCCAAGUUAAAAGUUUUGAAAUUUCUCAAGUUUCAUGUGUUCUUGUAUUCAGGUCAUACGAAACACAGUCUAUAGACUAUAAACACUCCCCUUGAAGUUUAAAAAAAAGUCAAGUUGAAAACUUACACAAAGUCAAACAGAUGAAGGGCCAGCAGGACUCGACCUCUUAACGACGAUGACAAAUACACAAACGUUGACACUAACUACGUGAUGUAAAGUUAAAGCGUACAUCAAGUUUCUAACAUUCCCGAAACCUCGAAGUGAAAAUGUGAAGUAGAAAACUUACGAUAAGCCAAGUACAUGAAGGGUUAGCAUUACAGGUGUAACAUCUAUUAUAAACGUAACAGAAUUUAAAAACUUUUGUUCGAAGUCAUGUUCUUUUUACCCAAUCAGUCAAGUAGGUAUACGUUUGGGAGCAUUGUUUUGCAUAGCGAUUAGGUUAAUCGACUCCUACCCGUUGUAUACAAAUUCGUUCGUAAAUAUGGUACAAUGUUUUUUUUGAGGGGAGACAAGGUAUCUUCUAAAACACAAAAAACUAUAUAAAAUCUUUCUCUUCACAUGUGUGUCAUCGAACCGUAAACUAUUAACAAACGUUGAGCAUGUAAUCAAACUACUAAUACAUUAACGUAAUCCCGCAAUGGCAUCCAGAUUAUCAGAUCAUACAUAAACUAUUAACAAACCCCCACGGAUCAGACCGUUCUCAAAAGUUCAUCACUUCUAAAGUCGUCAUUUGAUACGUUUGUUAAAUUUUCAUGAGUUCAGGUUGAACGUUUGGUCAUCGUCAGGAUAUCACGUCGUACGUAUUUUAAGUUUUUAUCGUUUUGACUGAACUUUGUUUAAGGGUAGACCAACAAAUAAAGCAUCGAGUAGCACAGAUUAUGUUCGGUUACGAAGAUAAGAUUAGAUCAACAAAUAAAACAUCGAGCGCAAAAGAUUACAUUACAAUUUUCAGGUGAUCUACUUUUUAAGAGACACAAUCGAUCUAGUCAUGAUCAUGAGUCGUCAUGUUGUUCAUCGUCAUGACUAGUCAUGCUGAAUGUGUUUUUAUGAUCAUGACUAGUCAUUAUAAGAAUUAUAAUCUUCAUUGUAGGUAUAUUCUUUUUACGAAGAUAAGAUUGUGUAAAAAAAACCUUUUUUCUCUUGAUCAUGACUACUCAGCAUGACUGUUCCUACAGCAGAUGUUAAGACUACUCAGUAUGACUGUUCCUGUAUUAAUAACACGUUUACCUUUUUUGUUUUACAAAAUAUUUCUUUAAACGAACUUCAAGUUAAUGAUAUCAGAUUUUUUAAGUUAAUGUAGCGAUCACGUAAGUCUUAACGAUUAAAAAACUUUUUACUUCAAGGACAAAGUCCUAAUACAUUCAAGUUUUUAUAACAUACUACACACACGGUAUCAAUAGACUUGUAACUAAGACUGAUUAUAAGGUAAUAUCGUGAUGACGUAUAAGUGAAGACUAACGAAGAACGACGGUGAUAAAAAUAGUACUAAAACACACAGGUGGCUCCUCACAAAAAUAAGUAUCCUUUGACUUGGUUAUUGUCACCAACGAUGAUCACAAACCUUUAAUAUUAAUGAUCUUGAGAAUAAAGAGUGGGAAAAUUAACGACCGAUUAAGAACAUUUUUUCAUCACCAAUUAGAACGAUUAAUGAAACUACACUACGGAUCCACCAGUCAGGUCGAGGACGUUGGUUGUGUCCGGCAACGGGGAAAACGGUGUUGCCGUCGUCGUGUUUGUAAUCACACCAGCAGGAGUUGGUCAAGGAGUGCGCCGGAGGCGCGUUCGGGACGAGUACAUACGAAUAUGGUUUUCAUGUUGAGAACGAUGAGAGGAACAUGAACGUGAACGAAUAAAAGAUUCGUUAUUAAGGAUAACGAAGGAGAACCCCCUUCCCUAGGGUACAAUUUCGACAGAACCACGAGUGGGUGACAAAUAUAAGUAGUGGUAUCACAUGCUUUGUAUACUUUUGGUAAGACCGAAGCCUCUUUUAUAUUGCUCAUGUACACGUUAGUGCGCUCUUCAAGGGAAUACUUUCAAGGAACAUUUCUUUGGUGUACUUUCAAGUAGCUCUUUUUGAAACAUUCAAGUUUUGCCGAUAUCCUUUUGAAACAUCCAAGUCUACCCAUAUCUUUUGAAGCAUUCAAGUUUUACCGGUGCGAAUUGUCACGUACUUAUUUAUUUGAUAUGGGUUGUUUCAGGUACAACCAGCCAGAUGUCACACAACAGUUCUUCCAACAACCGGCUGUGACCGACUAGUAGAUGGAAGGUUAACAAUAAUCCGUAUAUGGUGACUUUGACGUCCAGCGCGGGAGGAGGGCGACAUCCAGCGCGGGAGGAGGGCGUAUCGGAUAACCAACCGCAUGGUACUGGGGAGGAGUACAAAAACCAUACUUAAACUACUUAGAAGAACUACGAGACAAGAAUAAGUAGAUCUCUAAGGAGGAGUAUAACUAACAAACAUAAAGAACAUGGCCAAAACAAGAACGUACAUACAUAGUCAAGCUACAAAACUCUAUCGAGUAUAAUGAAGGUUGACACUUCUAACUGUACGUAUAAACCCCUACUCUAAAAGUCCAUGAGGGAGGCAUUUGAUUAUAUUCUCGCAAAUCUUAUGAUUUCAUCACUAGAUUUGCGAGAAUAUAAUCAAAUGUCUCCUUCAUGAUCAAACCGUGACAUAGAUUGGGCAUGAUUUUAUAAAGUCGUCAAGUUGUCCCCGCACCCCAAGUCAAGCUUUCCACUACUGGGUCCGUCGGCUGGAAGCGUAUUGCUUGACCACGUCAAACUAGAACACACUUAACCUUUAGUGGACUACGACUCACACAGUCAUGUUGGGAUGCGAUGUUCCGUGCGCAUGUAGCUGAAGUACACAAUCAGUUAUCAUAACACGUAAAAGAACCAUGGAAACGAUGAGAUCGGUUUUUAUAAAACAACAAGUGAAAAGACACAAAACAACUUAUUAAGAGUACGACACAAAAGACACUCGAUGUUUUAGUAUCACGAAUUUUCUGGCUACACACGCAGUAUGAACUUAAUGUCUUCAAUGUCCUCUUUCAUGGGGAUAAGGUAAUGAAACUCAUCAUGUUCAUGUGGAAAGACUAUCAUGUCACGUUCGGGACGUGUUUACCGCGUCACCAUCUACGAACCACUUCAGGCAAUAUCGAACUCCAAAUGAGACUCCCUCAAGUACAGCUUGACGCGAAGUUGAUACGUACUACGAAAAAAGCCUCUUUCUUUGAUACCUUCCGAGUUUAAUAGAACUAUCAAGUUAGUGACUUUUUACUCCUCAAGACCCCCGAUGUAUGUUGGAAAGAUAUUUUUUUAUCUCAUCUUGUUCAUUACUAGUAUAAACAGUAGUACGAAAAUCGAUUUUAUCACAUACUAACUUUGAGCCAAGGUAAAUCUAGUGAUUAAUGAUAUUUCCGCUAAACUUCAAAGUAGGUGUAGUACAAGAACGUAGUUCACCGUGACAAACUACAUGGUGACUUAACGUCAAACCAAGUCAAGAAUAAGGUCACUGGUUCAAUCUAGUUAAAAAUAAAACACAAGUUAAGUCAAGUCAAAGACGGGGCGUAUAUUCAAGUGGAUAAAAUAACGAUUUUAUCCAAGUAAAACAAGGGACAUCCUAGAACGGUACUAAUGGAAACACUUUGGACAUGUGAGUUGUGAGUAUAGAUACAUAACUCUUGGUUUAAAGAAAAUUAUUACUCGAAAUGAAAGUAUGAUUGUAAAGUAAAUAGAAGAAAAUGUCAUCUCGUUUAUGAUAAAAAAUACGGUUCAUUCAAGUUUGUCUUGACUUUCACCUCCAUGUAUUGGUUAAGUUUACGAACAAAACCAAUACAAAUACCUUUGAGUAUUAAAAAUAGAAACAGGUGACAAUCGAUACAUUUUGUUUAGUUAUUUUUCAAGUGAAAAGUUACGAAAUUAUCAAGUUAACCAUUUUUGUCAUCCACAAGUAAGAUGUUUUUUCGUGACUGAAAAUACACAUUUCUUUCUUUACCUUUAGAUAUUCAAGUAUGUCCCUGUAUAUAUACCACUUGAACGCAGGUCGUGUGCUCGUAAACGAAGGUGGUGAUUUCCGUAAACAUAGGCCGUGUACUCGAUGUACUCGAUGUACGAGUUGUCAACGUGUGACGGCGGUACCUGUACGUGUUUACUAUAAUUCAUCUUCAAACAAUCAAGUCAAAAAAUAACUAAAUGGAACAAAUUCAUUAUCACGUCGUUAUUUCCACAUCAACAUGUCUCAAAAUCAACGAUAUACCCCUUGGGUAUCCGGUAAAUAAAACCAAAUGUCAAGUCGAACACACAAGAAAAGUCAGACAUACGAAAUAACACGUAUUUUCCACAUCAAGAUAUUGUUCCCGUUUUCAAUGACCCAAGUUGUUUUUGCUUUUACGAUCAAAGAGAAAAUACACUAAAAAUCAAGAAGGGGCGCGAGAAAACACUACGAGACCGUUUUUCUACUGAUAUCAACAAUAUCUUUUUUGUCAUGUUUGAAAAAUAUUUCAAACAAAAAAACUUGAAGAGGGUUAGUUAUAUGACUUGAACUAAUAGAAAAAUUGUCAUGAACGUAGUUGAGUAACCUUAACCACACACACGAACAUUGUGUUAGUCAAGUCUAGAGCUCUCUGGUAUUCAAACAACUGUUUGUACAUAUAAUCAAGUAUAGAGCUCUCAGGUAUUAAAACAUUCCGGUCUUUUACGUUACCGAAUCAUGUAGUGUCGUCGAGAGACUACGUCUUUCCUACCGAGAAGAGUUCAGUCGUCGAUUUGUUUGACCGUUGAAGUCCCAUCGAGUUAGUUAUAUCCUCGACACGUCAUUUGUCGAAGUCAGCUCUUUAGUCGUUCAACAUUACGUAUCACAGAAGGUCCGUGGACAAACAACAAAGGAUUAGUGGGAUUAAGGAUUUUAUAAGAUGAGUUGAAGUCGCGGUACGAGUCAGGUUGGUGUACCGAAGUCCCACGGGCUCAAGCAGCGCUGGUAGUCAAGCUUCUGACGGUGACGCACACAGCGAUGGUACCGGUGGACGCAGUGACGCACGAGGCAGUUGU
RNAcentral lists this ribosomal RNA (5720 nucleotides) under Triticum aestivum (bread wheat). Its description in RNAcentral is "partial small subunit ribosomal RNA". The record is from RNAcentral. Lineage: Eukaryota; Viridiplantae; Streptophyta; Magnoliopsida; Poales; Poaceae.